AAGCUCAGGGGGCUCAACGGGCGGCGACGCCGCGGAGGAAGCCGGUGUGAGUCCGGCGCGGUCCCGCCACUGUCACCAGGGUUUUCUCCUGGCAGCCAGGAACUCCGGUCGCCGCCUUUCCUU
This 123-nucleotide non-coding RNA is filed under the name Actinoplanes derwentensis. The record is from RNAcentral. Lineage: Bacteria; Bacillati; Actinomycetota; Actinomycetes; Micromonosporales; Micromonosporaceae.